CAAGUACUCCCUCCGUCCGGAAUUACUUGUCAUCAAAAUGGAUGUGUCUAGAACUAAAAUAAAUCUAGAUACAUCCAUUUAAAUGACAAGUAUUUUCGGACGGAGGGAGUACAAG
Triticum aestivum (bread wheat) is the source of this 115-nucleotide non-coding RNA. The record is from Rfam. Lineage: Eukaryota; Viridiplantae; Streptophyta; Magnoliopsida; Poales; Poaceae.